UACGUAGGGUGCGAGCGUUGUCCGGAAUUAUUGGGCGUAAAGGGCUCGUAGGCGGUUUGUCGCGUCGGGAGUGAAAACCAGGUGCUUAACACCUGGCUUGCUUUCGAUACGGGCAGACUAGAGGUAUGCAGGGGAGAACGGAAUUCCUGGUGUAGCGGUGAAAUGCGCAGAUAUCAGGAGGAACACCGGUGGCGAAGGCGGUUCUCUGGGCAUGAUCUGACGCUGAGGAGCGAAAGUGUGGGGAGCGAACAGG
Molecule: ribosomal RNA, 253 nt
Filed under: uncultured bacterium
Lineage: Bacteria
Description: partial 16S ribosomal RNA
Rfam family: Bacterial small subunit ribosomal RNA
Source: RNAcentral